GUGGGCCGGUGAUCCAUUGGAUAGUCGUGUGGAACCGAGCAACCUUGUUAUAGUAUUGCGCGGCAAACACCCAAGUAAAGCCGCCUUAUAUAAUUUGUAUAUUUCGUAAGUUCGGUAGCAAAUGUAGAUUUUAGUAUUAAUAUAAAGUUUUAUUUAGGUAUAUUUUGGACCGACACGUGAAGCAUUUUCUCUAUUAACAUUCUCGGACGUUUCAAUUAUUACUAUUAUUAUUAUUACUACUAAAAAUAUGUUUAGAUGAUAGUUUAUUAACGUACGUCACGUAAUUUUUAAAAUUAUUUUUUUAAAUUAUUAAAUUGUUAAUUUCGUAUAAUUUAAAUAAAUUUUUUUUUAUAUUUACAUUUAUACCCUCAUUUUUUUUUCUUUGAAAUGCAAUGCC
Molecule: long non-coding RNA, 397 nt
Filed under: Carica papaya (papaya)
Lineage: Eukaryota; Viridiplantae; Streptophyta; Magnoliopsida; Brassicales; Caricaceae
Description: long non-coding RNA (CPAP_LNC005954)
Source: RNAcentral